CGAAAGCGUGGGUAGCAAACAGGAUUAGAUACCCUGGUAGUCCACGCCGUAAACGAUGAGUGUUAGGUGUCUGGAAUAAUCUGGGUGCCGCAGCUAACGCAAUAAACACUCCGCCUGGGGAGUACGCACGCAAGUGUGAAACUCAAAGGGAUUGACGGGGACCCGCACAAGCAGCGGAGCAUGUGGUUUAAUUCGACGCAACGCGAAGAACCUUACCAAGUCUUGACAUAUUACGGAGGUAUGUAGAGAUACGUACUUACUUCUUCGGAAGACUGUAAUACAGGUGGUGCAUGGUUGUCGUCAGUUCGUGUCGUGAGAUGUUGGGUUAAGUCCCAUAACGAGCGCAACCCCUAUUGUUAGUUACCAUCAUUAAGUUGGGGACUCUAGCAAUACUGCCGGUGACAAACCGGAGGAAGGUGGGGAUGACGUCAAAUCAUCAUGCCCUUUAUGACUUGGGCUACACACGUGCUACAAUGGCAGGUACAGAGGGAAGCGAGACUGCGAAGUUAAGCAAAACUCAAAAAGCCUGUCCCAGUUCGGAUUGCACUCUGCAACUCGAGUGCAUGAAGUUGGAGUUGCUAGUAAUCGCAGAUCAGAAUGCUGCGGUGAAUGCGUUCCCGGGUCUUGUACACACCGCCCGUCACACCAUGGAAGUUGGCAAUACCCGAAGCCUGUGAGCUAACCU
RNAcentral lists this ribosomal RNA (685 nucleotides) under uncultured bacterium. Its description in RNAcentral is "bacterial SSU rRNA". It matches the Rfam family "Bacterial small subunit ribosomal RNA", at positions 754 to 1441 of the family's 1533-position model. The record is from RNAcentral.